Molecule: ribosomal RNA, 1227 nt
Filed under: metagenome
Description: bacterial LSU rRNA
Rfam family: Bacterial large subunit ribosomal RNA
Source: RNAcentral
UGAAUACGAGACGCUAAGGCGUCGAAGUAGUGUAUGUCAUACUUCCAAGAAAAGCUUGCACUGUCAUAGAUAAAAAACGCCUGUACCAUAACCGACACAGGUGGGUAGGUAGAGUAUACUAAGGGGCGCGAGAUAACUCUCUCUAAGGAACUCGGCAAAAUAACUCCGUAACUUCGGGAGAAGGAGUGCCUUAUUAUUAAGGCUGCAAUAACAAGAUCCAAGCAACUGUUUAUCAAAAACACAGGUCUCCGCUAAGUCGUAAGACGAUGUAUGGGGGCUGACGCCUGCCCAGUGCCAGAAGGUUAAAGAAGUUGGUUAGCAUUUGCGAAGCUGAUAACUGAAGCCCUGGUGAACGGCGGCCGUAACUAUAACGGUCCUAAGGUAGCGAAAUUCCUUGUCGGGUAAGUUCCGACCCGCACGAAAGGCGUAAUGAUUUGGAUACUGUCUCGGAGAGGGGCUCGGUGAAAUAGACUUGUCUGUGAAGAUGCGGACUACCUGCACCAGGACAGAAAGACCCUAUGAAGCUUUACUGUAACUUGAAAUUGAAAUUGGACUUUAUUCGCGCAGCAUAGGUGGGAGGCGUUGAUUAUAAUCUUGUGGGAUUAUUGGAGCCAUCAGUGAGAUACCACUCUUGUAAUGUUAGAUUUCUAACUUUGAAUCAUUAUCUGGUCAAAGAACAGUUUCAGGCGGGCAGUUUGACUGGGGCGGUCGCCUCCUAAACGGUAACGGAGGCGUACAAAGGUUUCCUCUGAACGGUUAGAAAUCGUAUCUAGAGUGUAAAGGCAUAAGGAAGCUUGACUGUGAGACCUACAAGUCGAGCAGGGACGAAAGUCGGUCUUAGUGAUCUGACGGUACUGAGUGGAAAGGCCGUCACUCAACGGAUAAAAGUUACUCUAAGGAUAACAGGCUGAUCUCCCCCAAGAGUUCACAUCGACGGGGAGGUUUGGCACCUCGAUGUCGGCUCAUCGCAUCCUGGGGCGGUAGUACGUCCCAAGGGUUGGGCUGUUCGCCCAUGAAAGCGGUACGCGAGCUGGGUUCAGAACGUCGUGAGACAGUUCGGUCCAUAUCCGGUGUAGGCGUUAGAAUAUUGAGAGGAGCCUUCUUUAGUACGAGAGGACCGAGAAGGACAUACCUCUGGUGUACCAGUUAUCGUGCCAACGGUAAACGCUGGGUAGCUAUGUAUGGAGUGGAUAACCGCUGAAAGCAUCUAAGUGGGAAGCCCACCUC